GACGAACGCUGGCGGCGUGCUUAACACAUGCAAGUCGAACGGUGAAGCGCCUUCCUUUUUGGUGGGUGUGGAUGAGUGGCGAACGGGUGAGUAACACGUGAGUAACCUGCCCCCUUCUUCUGGAUAACCGCAUGAAAGUGUGGCUAAUACGGGAUAUUCUGGGUCUGUCGCAUGAUGGGUCUGGGAAAGAUAUUGUUUCGGUGGGGGAUGGGCUCGCGGCCUAUCAGCUUGUUGGUGGGGUGAUGGCCUACCAAGGCGGUGACGGGUAGCCGGCCUGAGAGGGUGGACGGUCACACUGGGACUGAGACACGGCCCAGACUCCUACGGGAGGCAGCAGUGGGGAAUAUUGCACAAUGGGCGCAAGCCUGAUGCAGCGACGCCGCGUGAGGGAUGGAGGCCUUCGGGUUGUGAACCUCUUUCGCCAGUGAAGCAGGCCUGCCUCGUUUGUGGGUGGGUUGACGGUAGCUGGAUAAGAAGCGCCGGCUAACUACGAG
RNAcentral lists this ribosomal RNA (494 nucleotides) under uncultured bacterium. RNAcentral describes it as "partial 16S ribosomal RNA". It matches the Rfam family "Bacterial small subunit ribosomal RNA", at positions 28 to 507 of the family's 1533-position model. The record is from RNAcentral.